This 21-nucleotide small nuclear RNA is filed under the name Arabidopsis thaliana (thale cress). RNAcentral describes it as "snRNA_10854". Lineage: Eukaryota; Viridiplantae; Streptophyta; Magnoliopsida; Brassicales; Brassicaceae. The record is from RNAcentral.
GACUUUCGUUGUUGCACUUGA